Molecule: long non-coding RNA, 598 nt
Organism: Cornus florida
Lineage: Eukaryota; Viridiplantae; Streptophyta; Magnoliopsida; Cornales; Cornaceae
Exons: 3
Source: RefSeq, a predicted model, not a curated record
CCAUGGUUGGAUUAGAGGCAUGUUGUGUUCGGACAAGUUUUGGAGAGCAUGGAUAUUGUUAUGCUGAUCGAGUCACAAGAGACGGACGGAGGUAAUCGUCCUGAAAUGGAGUGGUCAUUAGUGACUGUGGCGAGCUUCCAAUGGUCUGACAUGGAAUCCCAAUAUAGAAGGCUUUUUGUUCAAAGGAUGCUUGAGCUAUGACCUUUCUGAAGAAUUCUAUGCUAGAGGGUGGUUGAGGCCACUAACAACUCUUAACUAGCGGAUAUGUAUUUGAUUUUGAGGUGAAUGCGAGAAGAGAUAGAAGGGAACAUGUUCUAUAUUAUGCCCUAUCACCAUCAUCAUCGAUCUUAUUUUUCUUACGGGCUUUCUGGAGAGCAGAUUAGACAGGACGGGACGUGAUUAUGACCAAAAAUGGGGAUGGGAUUGGAUCGAAAAUGGUCCCCAAAAAAACCGUUGCCAUCCCGUGAAGAAGCAUCUUGAGAUCAUAUGGAUGAACUUGAACAUGAAGAAGGGAGAUAGGAUCAAACAUAGAGACGCAAAAACUACUGCCAUAACCACUUCGUUCAAGCAGUUGUCAAUCAGAUAAUUCAUAUCCAUU